This 657-nucleotide ribosomal RNA is filed under the name uncultured marine bacterium. RNAcentral describes it as "bacterial SSU rRNA". It matches the Rfam family "Bacterial small subunit ribosomal RNA", at positions 55 to 758 of the family's 1533-position model. The record is from RNAcentral.
AUGCAAGUCGAACGCAGUAGCAAUACUGAGUGGCAAACGGGUGAGUAUAAUGUGGGAAUCUGCCUUUUGGUUUGGAAUAACACGGGGAAACUUGUGCUAAUACCAAAUAAGCCCUUACGGGGAAAGUUUUAAUGCCGAAAGAUGAGCCCGCACUUGAUUAGCUAGUUGGUAAGGUAAAAGCUUACCAAGGCAACGAUCAAUAGCUGUUCUUAGAGGAAGACCAGCCACAUUGGGACUGAGACACGGCCCAGACUCCUACGGGAGGCAGCAGUGGGGAAUCUUGCACAAUGGGGGAAACCCUGAUGCAGCGAUGCCGCGUGAGUGAAGAAGGCCCUUGGGUUGUAAAACUCUUUCGUCGGGGAAGAAAAUGACUGUACCCGAAUAAGAAGGUCCGGCUAACUUCGUGCCAGCAGCCGCGGUAAUACGAAGGGACCUAGCGUAGUUCGGAAUUACUGGGCAUAAAGAGCUCGCGGGUGGUUAAAAAAGUUGAUGGUGAAAUCCCAAGGCUCAACCUUGGAACUGCCAUCAAAACUUUUUAGCUAGAGUGUGAUAGAGGUAAGUGGAAUUUCUAGUGUAGAGGUGAAAUUCGUGGAUAUUAGAAAGAACACCAAAUGCGAAGGCAACUUACUGGGUCACUACUGACACUGAGGAGCGAAA